GAUGAACGCUAGCUACAGGCUUAACACAUGCAAGUCGAGGGGCAGCAUAAAACAAGCUUGCUUGUUUGGUGGCGACCGGCGCACGGGUGCGUAACGCGUAUGCAACCUACCCUGUACUGGGGGAUAGCCCGGAGAAAUGCGGAUUAAGACCCCAUAGUAUAUAUCAUUCGCAUGUUUGGUAUAUUAAAGGUUACGGCACAGGAUGGGCAUGCGUCCUAUUAGCUAGAUGGUGAGGUAACGGCUCACCAUGGCGACGAUAGGUAGGGGGCCUGAGAGGGUGGUCCCCCACACUGGUACUGAGACACGGACCAGACUCCUACGGGAGGCAGCAGUGAGGAAUAUUGGUCAAUGGGCGCAAGCCUGAACCAGCCAUGCCGCGUGCAGGAAGAAGGUCCUAUGGAUUGUAAACUGCUUUUAUUUGGGAAUAAACCUCUUUACGUGUAGAGAGCUGAAGGUACCAAAUGAAUAAGCACCGGCUAACUCCGUGCCAGCAGCCGCAGUAA
This 503-nucleotide ribosomal RNA is filed under the name uncultured bacterium. RNAcentral describes it as "partial 16S ribosomal RNA". It matches the Rfam family "Bacterial small subunit ribosomal RNA", at positions 28 to 523 of the family's 1533-position model. The record is from RNAcentral.